UGGGGAAUCUUGGACAAUGGGCGCAAGCCUGAUCCAGCCAUGCCGCGUGAGUGAUGAAGGCCCUAGGGUCGUAAAGCUCUUUCAACUGUGAAGAUAAUGACGGUAGCAGUAGAAGAAACCCCGGCUAACUCCGUGCCAGCAGCCGCGGUAAUACGGAGGGGGUUAGCGUUGUUCGGAAUUACUGGGCGUAAAGCGCGCGUAGGCGGAUUGGAAAGUUGGGGGUGAAAUCCCAGGGCUCAACCCUGGAACUGCCUCCAAAACUAUCAGUCUAGAGUUCGAGAGAGGUGAGUGGAACUCCGAGUGUAGAGGUGAAAUUCGUAGAUAUUCGGAAGAACACCAGUGGCGAAGGCGGCUCACUGGCUCGAUACUGACGCUGAGGUGCGAAAGUGUGGGGAGCAAACAGGAUUAGAUACCCCCGUAGUCC
Molecule: ribosomal RNA, 424 nt
Filed under: uncultured prokaryote
Description: bacterial SSU rRNA
Rfam family: Bacterial small subunit ribosomal RNA
Source: RNAcentral